RNAcentral lists this ribosomal RNA (484 nucleotides) under uncultured bacterium. RNAcentral's name for it is "partial 16S ribosomal RNA". It matches the Rfam family "Bacterial small subunit ribosomal RNA", at positions 29 to 507 of the family's 1533-position model. The record is from RNAcentral.
AUUGAACGCUGGCGGCAUGCUUUACACAUGCAAGUCGAACGGCAGCGCGGGCUUCGGCCUGGCGGCGAGUGGCGAACGGGUGAGUAAUGCAUCGGAACGUGCCCAGUAGUGGGGGAUAGCCCGGCGAAAGCCGGAUUAAUACCGCAUACGACCUGAGGGUGAAAGCGGGGGACCGAAAGGCCUCGCGCUAUUGGAGCGGCCGAUGUCGGAUUAGCUAGUUGGUGGGGUAAAGGCUUACCAAGGCGACGAUCCGUAGCUGGUCUGAGAGGACGACCAGCCACACUGGAACUGAGACACGGCCCAGACUCCUACGGGAGGCAGCAGUGGGGAAUUUUGGACAAUGGGGGCAACCCUGAUCCAGCCAUGCCGCGUGCGGGAAGAAGGCCUUCGGGUUGUAAACCGCUUUUGUUCGGGAAGAAAGCCUCUGGGCUAAUACCCCGGGGGGAUGACGGUACCGGAAGAAUAAGCACCGGCUAACUACGUG